This 136-nucleotide ribosomal RNA is filed under the name uncultured eukaryote. Its description in RNAcentral is "partial 18S ribosomal RNA". It matches the Rfam family "Eukaryotic small subunit ribosomal RNA", at positions 1299 to 1455 of the family's 1831-position model. The record is from RNAcentral.
UGGUGGAGUGAUUUGUCUGGUUAAUUCCGUUAACGAACGAGACCUCGACCUGCUAAAUAGUUUAGCAAAUUCUUCGGGAUUUGUGUAGACUUCUUAGGGACUUUAGAUGAGCAGUCUAAGGAAGUUCGAGGCAAUA